This 808-nucleotide long non-coding RNA is filed under the name Homo sapiens (human). Its description in RNAcentral is "non-protein coding lnc-NFYA-1:18". Lineage: Eukaryota; Metazoa; Chordata; Mammalia; Primates; Hominidae. The record is from RNAcentral.
UUUGAAUCCUUUGUUUCUCCACCUAGAAAGUUUCUACCUACCUUAUGUAUCCUUCCCGAUAUUAUUGCAUCUAGUUCUGGACUGGGUUUCUUAACUUUCCACCUUUGCCAGCUGCUACCCAGUAUCAUUAAAAUAUUAACAUUUAGCCUUGCUCAAUGGACCUGUAGUCUAUGGUUCAGUCUAUAAUUUGAUACAGCUCCCUCCAGCCCUUCUGAGUCUAAAACACAUUCCAAUUCCUCUGUUUUCCAGGCUUAUUUUGCCAUCAGUAACUCCUUCCUGUUCCCCCAGCCAUGAGUGAAUAUGCUGAAUGAGGACCUUUUACUGUAAGGAGUUCUUCUCUCAAUGUGUGACCUGCCCUGUCUAUCACCAGUGGGUAUCUGAGCUUAAGGCCUCUGUAAUGAGAUGUGAAAAGAGAGAAUUGAUGUCCCUGACUAACAGCAUCAGACCUUUUGACACCUGCUUGACCAGGAUUUGGAUAAAAGGAGAAUUUCUGCAGGAAAAUAACUCUUAGAAAAGAAACUUAGGAAUACAGAGUAAGCAUUUCUUCCUGGAAGCCUUGUGUGAGAGACAUAAAGACAGUCUCAGAUUCUUACUCACAAGCAGAUUUGACAGAGUGGCUGAUGUCAAGGAGAACAAGGAUGCAGAAGAAACUCAAGAUGUAUGUAUUAAAACAAAAGAACAAUAACCUGAAGGGACCAUGAUUCUGUUAUUGUAUAUAACACAAGGAAAUGCCCCAGAUUCUCCUUUAAAAGAUAUAAUGUACAUAUUAAGUAUACUAGCCUUUAUAGUUACUGCUAUCUACAUGUUU